UGAGAUAAAACACCAUGACAAGGAAAUGCUU
This 31-nucleotide non-coding RNA is filed under the name Mus musculus (house mouse). The record is from RNAcentral. Lineage: Eukaryota; Metazoa; Chordata; Mammalia; Rodentia; Muridae.